UGAAGGACGUGCUAAUCUGCGAUAAGCGCCGGUAAGGUGAUAUGAACCGUUAUAACCGGCGAUUUCCGAAUGGGGAAACCCAGUGUGACUCGUCACACUAUCAUUAACUGAAUCCAUAGGUUAAUGAGGCGAACCGGGGGAACUGAAACAUCUAAGUACCCCGAGGAAAAGAAAUCAACCGAGAUUCCCCCAGUAGCGGCGAGCGAACGGGGAGGAGCCCAGAGCCUGAAUCAGCAUGUGUGUUAGUGGAAGCGUCUGGAAAGGCGCGCGAUACAGGGUGACAGCCCCGUACACAAAAGCGCAUGUGCUGUGAGCUCGAUGAGUAGGGCGGGACACGUGGUAUCCUGUCUGAAUAUGGGGGGACCAUCCUCCAAGGCUAAAUACUCCUGACUGACCGAUAGUGAACCAGUACCGUGAGGGAAAGGCGAAAAGAACCCCGGCGAGGGGAGUGAAAAAGAACCUGAAACCGUGUACGUACAAGCAGUGGGAGCCCCACCACUAAGCCAGUGGUGAACUCCACAUACGCAUCCUUUGCUGAGGAUACGGUUAACGGAGCGAAAGCGACGUUCAACCUCAAAAGAAGCAGAGGGGGCUUAGUGGUGGGGUGACUGCGUACCUUUUGUAUAAUGGGUCAGCGACUUAUAUUCUGUAGCAAGGUUAACCGAAUAGGGGAGCCGGAGGGAAACCGAGUCUUA
RNAcentral lists this ribosomal RNA (695 nucleotides) under Salmonella enterica subsp. enterica serovar Give. RNAcentral describes it as "partial 23S ribosomal RNA". It matches the Rfam family "Bacterial large subunit ribosomal RNA", at positions 50 to 686 of the family's 2925-position model. Lineage: Bacteria; Pseudomonadati; Pseudomonadota; Gammaproteobacteria; Enterobacterales; Enterobacteriaceae. The record is from RNAcentral.